This 84-nucleotide transfer RNA is filed under the name Candidatus Omnitrophota bacterium. Its description in RNAcentral is "Candidatus Omnitrophica bacterium (hot springs metagenome) tRNA-Leu". It matches the Rfam family "tRNA". Rfam says of the family: Transfer RNA (tRNA) molecules are approximately 80 nucleotides in length. The record is from RNAcentral. Lineage: Bacteria; Pseudomonadati; Candidatus Omnitrophota.
GGGCGAGUGGAGGAAUGGUAUACUCGACGGACUUAAAAUCCGUUGGCCGAUAAGGCCGUAAGGGUUCGAAUCCCUUCUCGCCCA